This 996-nucleotide ribosomal RNA is filed under the name uncultured bacterium. RNAcentral's name for it is "bacterial SSU rRNA". It matches the Rfam family "Bacterial small subunit ribosomal RNA", at positions 356 to 1376 of the family's 1533-position model. RNAcentral also lists the same sequence under 1 other name. The record is from RNAcentral.
GGGGGAUAUUGCACAAUGGGGGAAACCCUGAUGCAGCGACGCCGCGUGGAGGAAGAAGGUUUUCGGAUUGUAAACUCCUGUCGUUAGGGACGAUAAUGACGGUACCUAACAAGAAAGCACCGGCUAACUACGUGCCAGCAGCCGCGGUAAAACGUAGGGUGCAAGCGUUGUCCGGAAUUACUGGGUGUAAAGGGAGCGCAGGCGGACCGGCAAGUUGGAAGUGAAAACUAUGGGCUCAACCCAUAAAUUGCUUUCAAAACUGCUGGCCUUGAGUAGUGCAGAGGUAGGUGGAAUUCCCGGUGUAGCGGUGGAAUGCGUAGAUAUCGGGAGGAACACCAGUGGCGAAGGCGACCUACUGGGCACCAACUGACGCUGAGGCUCGAAAGCAUGGGUAGCAAACAGGAUUAGAUACCCUGGUAGUCCAUGCCGUAAACGAUGAUUACUAGGUGUUGGAGGAUUGACCCCUUCAGUGCCGCAGUUAACACAAUAAGUAAUCCACCUGGGGAGUACGACCGCAAGGUUGAAACUCAAAGGAAUUGACGGGGGCCCGCACAAGCAGUGGAGUAUGUGGUUUAAUUCGAAGCAACGCGAAGAACCUUACCAGGUCUUGACAUCCGAUGCAUAGCUUAGAGAUAAGUGAAGUCCUUCGGGACAUCGAGACAGGUGGUGCAUGGUUGUCGUCAGCUCGUGUCGUGAGAUGUUGGGUUAAGUCCCGCAACGAGCGCAACCCUUAUUGCCAGUUACUACGCAAGAGGACUCUGGCGAGACUGCCGUUGACAAAACGGAGGAAGGUGGGGAUGACGUCAAAUCAUCAUGCCCUUUAUGACCUGGGCUACACACGUACUACAAUGGCGUUUAACAAAGAGAAGCAAGACCGCGAGGUGGAGCAAAACUCAAAAACAACGUCUCAGUUCAAAUUGCAGGCUGCAACUCGCCUGCAUGAAGUCGGAAUUGCUAGUAAUCGCGGAUCAGCAUGCCGCGGUGAAUACGUUCCCG